RNAcentral lists this ribosomal RNA (253 nucleotides) under uncultured bacterium. RNAcentral describes it as "partial 16S ribosomal RNA". It matches the Rfam family "Bacterial small subunit ribosomal RNA", at positions 524 to 776 of the family's 1533-position model. The record is from RNAcentral.
UACGUAGGGUGCGAGCGUUAAUCGGAAUUACUGGGCGUAAAGCGUGCGCAGGCGGUUCGUUGUGUCCGAUGUGAAAGCCCCGAGCUUAACUUGGGAAUGGCAUUGGAAACUGGCGAGCUGGAGUGUGGCAGAGGGGGGUGGAAUUCCACGUGUAGCAGUGAAAUGCGUAGAGAUGUGGAGGAACACCGAUGGCGAAGGCAGCCCCCUGGGCCAACACUGACGCUCAGGCACGAAAGCGUGGGGAGCAAACAGG